UUUCUACCUUUAAAAUAUGUAGAAAAAUAAUUACUACGUCUUAACACUACUAGUACUUAUUUGUUAUUCAGUGUACUCCUAAUCACUCAAGGAUGUUUUUUUACUUUUCUGAGAGAAGAGAACUUCCAUAAACAAAACUAGUAAAUCAAAACCAAAUCCAAAGAAAAUCAGGUUUAUCAAAUUAUUCGCUGUGGCACUCUUUUCUCUUUCUCCGACGCCAAAACCAAGUUGUUCAAGUUUAGCCAUGCCUCGUGCUCCUAAAACUCGCUCAUAUGUUUGGGAACAUUUUAAGGUAGUUAAAGACAAUGAAGAUGAAGAAGUGCAUCUUACUCAAAAAGAGUCAAUGGGAUUAGACACAUCCAUAGCAGGAGACGUAGAGGAAGAAAUCCUUGCUCUUGGGGCUAAGAUGUUGCCUUUUCCAUCUAGAGCAAAGUGCAUGACAUGUGGUAGGAUCGUUGCGUAUAUUGGAAAAAAGGCAUUUAAUUUAAGGAGGCAUAUUGAGAGAUGUCGUGAGCUUCAUCUAAAGAAAGAGAGGCAUCGCGUUUUAAGUUUAUGUUAUGAAUUUGGUGAAUUUUAGACUUAAUUUGUGAUGACUAGUGUAGUGUUUGAUUAUGGAUUUAAGACUUAGUUUGUGACUGCUAAUGUUUUCUAUUUGGACCUGGAUUUUAGGACAUAUUUGUGUUGCUUUAAGUGUUCAGAACUGCUGAAUUCUUUGUGACUGAUGAUGCUACCUUUUUUGUGUCU
Molecule: RNA transcript, 744 nt
Organism: Lycium barbarum (goji berry)
Lineage: Eukaryota; Viridiplantae; Streptophyta; Magnoliopsida; Solanales; Solanaceae
Exons: 2
Source: RefSeq, a predicted model, not a curated record